This 1242-nucleotide ribosomal RNA is filed under the name metagenome. RNAcentral's name for it is "bacterial LSU rRNA". It matches the Rfam family "Bacterial large subunit ribosomal RNA", at positions 1564 to 2815 of the family's 2925-position model. The record is from RNAcentral.
UGAGUACGAGACGCUAAGGCGUUGAAGCAGUCUAUGUCAGACUUCCAAGAAAAGCUCGCAAUGUCAUAAACAACAAAUGCCUGUACCAUAACCGACACAGGUGGGUAGGUAGAGUAUACUAAGGGGCGCGAGAUAACUCUCUCUAAGGAACUCGGCAAAAUGACUCCGUAACUUCGGGAGAAGGAGUGCCUUCUUGAAGAAGGUUGCAAUAACAAGAUCCAAGCAACUGUUUACCAAAAACACAGGUCUCCGCUAAGUCGUAAGACGAUGUAUGGGGGCUGACGCCUGCCCAGUGCCAGAAGGUUAAAGAAGUUGGUUAGCCUAGCGAAGCUGAUGACUGAAGCCCUGGUGAACGGCGGCCGUAACGAUAACGGUCCUAAGGUAGCGAAAUUCCUUGUCGGGUAAGUUCCGACCCGCACGAAAGGCGUAAUGAUUUGGAUACUGUCUCGGAGAGGGGCUCGGUGAAAUAGACUUGUCUGUGAAGAUGCGGACUACCUGCACCUGGACAGAAAGACCCUAUGAAGCUUUACUGUAACUUGAGAUUGAAAUUGGACUUUAUUUGCGCAGUAUAGGUGGGAGACUUUGAGAAUAUUCUUGCGGGAAUAUUGGAGUCAUCAGUGAGAUACCACUCUUGUAAUGUUAGAUUUCUAACUUUGGAUCAUUAUCUGGUCAAAGGACAGUUUCAGGCGGGCAGUUUGACUGGGGCGGUCGCCUCCCAAACGGUAACGGAGGCGCACAAAGGUUUCCUCUGAACGUGUAGAAAUCGUAUCUAGAGUGUAAAGGCAUAAGGAAGCUUGACUGUGAGACCUACAAGUCGAGCAGGGACGAAAGUCGGUCUUAGUGAUCUGACGGUGCUGAGUGGAAAGGCCGUCACUCAACGGAUAAAAGUUACUCUAAGGAUAACAGGCUGAUCUCCCCCAAGAGUUCACAUCGACGGGGAGGUUUGGCACCUCGAUGUCGGCUCAUCGCAUCCUGGGGCGGUAGUACGUCCCAAGGGUUGGGCUGUUCGCCCAUGAAAGCGGUACGCGAGCUGGGUUCAGAACGUCGUGAGACAGUUCGGUCCAUAUCCGGUGUAGGCGUUAGAAUAUUGAGAGGAGCCUUCUUUAGUACGAGAGGACCGAGAAGGACAUACCUCUGGUGUACCAGUUAUCGUGCCAACGGUAAACGCUGGGUAGCUAUGUAUGGAGUGGAUAACCGCUGAAAGCAUCUAAGUGGGAAGCCCACCUCAAGAUAAGUAUUCUC